GAUGAACGCUGGCGGCGUGCCUAAUACAUGCAAGUCGAGCGAACGGACGAGAAGCUUGCUUAUCUGAUGUUAGCGGCGGACGGGUGAGUAACACGUGGAUAACCUACCUAUAAGACUGGGAUAACUUCGGGAAACCGGAGCUAAUACCGGAUAAUAUUUUGAACGGCAUGGUUCAAAAGUGAAAGACGGUCUUGCGGUCACUUAUAGAUGGAUCCGCGCUGCAUUAGCUAGUUGGUAAGGUAACGGCUUACCAAGGCAACGAUGCAUAGCCGACCUGAGAGGGUGAUCGGCCACACUGGAACUGAGACACGGUCCAGACUCCUACGGGAGGCAGCAGUAGGGAAUCUUCCGCAAUGGGCGAAAGCCUGACGGAGCAACGCCGCGUGAGUGAUGAAGGUCUUCGGAUCGUAAAACUCUGUUAUUAGGUAAGAACAUAUGUGUAAGUAACUGUGCACAUCUUGACGGUACCUAAUCAGAAAGCCACGGCUAACUACGUG
Molecule: ribosomal RNA, 497 nt
Filed under: uncultured bacterium
Lineage: Bacteria
Description: partial 16S ribosomal RNA
Rfam family: Bacterial small subunit ribosomal RNA
Source: RNAcentral